UGCCGGUCCCUUCGCGACGAUAAACUGUGAACUUGGUCAGGCCCGGAAGGGAGCAGCCACAGCGGUGGAUUCGGGUGCCGAGGUGUGGCUGGCAUGG
This 97-nucleotide signal recognition particle RNA is filed under the name Chromatiales bacterium. Its description in RNAcentral is "signal recognition particle sRNA small type". It matches the Rfam family "Bacterial small signal recognition particle RNA". From Rfam's summary of the family: The signal recognition particle (SRP) is a universally conserved ribonucleoprotein involved in the co-translational targeting of proteins to membranes. Archaeal SRP consists of a 7S RNA and homologues of the eukaryotic SRP19 and SRP54 proteins. The record is from RNAcentral. Lineage: Bacteria; Pseudomonadati; Pseudomonadota; Gammaproteobacteria; Chromatiales.